UUGCUCCCUUAGGUCAGCGGCGGACGGGUGAGUAACACGUGGGUAACCUGCCUGUAAGACUGGGAUAACUCCGGGAAACCGGGGCUAAUACCGGAUGCUUGAUUGAACCGCAUGGUUCCAAUCAUAAAAGGUGGCUUUUAGCUACCACUUACAGAUGGACCCGCGGCGCAUUAGCUAGUUGGUGAGGUAACGGCUCACCAAGGCGACGAUGCGUAGCCGACCUGAGAGGGUGAUCGGCCACACUGGGACUGUAGACACGGCCCAGACUCCUACGGGAGGCAGCAGUAGGGAAUCUUCCGCAAUGGACGAAAGUCUGACGGAGCAACGCCGCGUGAGUGAUGAAGGUUUUNGGAUCGUAAAACUCUGUUGUUAGGGAAGAACAAGUACCGUUCGAAUAGGGCGGCACC
This 407-nucleotide ribosomal RNA is filed under the name uncultured bacterium. RNAcentral's name for it is "bacterial SSU rRNA". It matches the Rfam family "Bacterial small subunit ribosomal RNA", at positions 79 to 479 of the family's 1533-position model. The record is from RNAcentral.